AUGCAAGUCUAGGGGGUGUAGCAAUACAUCACCGGCGGACGGGUGCGUAAAGGGGAAUAUACCUUUCGGUACGGAACAACUGAGGGAAACUUCAGCUAAUACCGUAUGCUCCGGAAACGGCAAAGAUUUAUCGCCGAAGGAUUAGCCCGCGCUCGAUUAGCUAGUUGGUGAGGUAAUGGCUCACCAAGGCUCCGAUCGAUAGCUGUUCUGAGAGGAAGAUCAGCCACACUGGGACUGAGACACGGCCCAGACUCCUACGGGAGGCAGCAGUUGGGAAUCUUGGACAAUGGGGGAAACCCUGAUCCAGCCAUGCCGCGUGAGUGAUGAAGGCCUUCGGGUUGUAAAGCUCUUUUACCCGGGAAGAUAAUGACUGUACCGGGAGAAUAAGCUCCGGCUAACUUCGUGCCAGCAGCCGCGGUAAUACGAAGGGGGCUAGCGUUGUUCGGAAUUACUGGGCGUAAAGCGCGCGCAGGCGGUUUCUCAAGUCAGUGGUGAAAGCCCGGAGCUCAACUCCGGAACUGCCAUUGAAACUGUGAAACUUGAGGACGAGAGAGGUGAGUGGAAUUCCCAGUGUAGAGGUGAAAUUCGUAGAUAUUGGGAAGAACACCGGUGGCGAAGGCGGCUCACUGGCUCGUUUCUGACGCUCAGGCGCGACAGCGUGG
This 662-nucleotide ribosomal RNA is filed under the name uncultured soil bacterium. RNAcentral's name for it is "bacterial SSU rRNA". It matches the Rfam family "Bacterial small subunit ribosomal RNA", at positions 55 to 764 of the family's 1533-position model. The record is from RNAcentral.